This 403-nucleotide ribosomal RNA is filed under the name uncultured bacterium. RNAcentral's name for it is "bacterial SSU rRNA". It matches the Rfam family "Bacterial small subunit ribosomal RNA", at positions 355 to 775 of the family's 1533-position model. The record is from RNAcentral.
UCGGGAAUUUUGCCCAAUGGACGAAAGUCUGAGGCAGCAACGCCGCGUGAGGGAUGAAGGCCUUCGGGUCGUAAACUUCUUUUCUCAGGGACGAUAAUGACGGUACCUGAGGAAUAAGCCACGGCAAACUACGUGCCAGCAGCCGCGGUAAUACGUAGGUGGCGAGCGUUGUCCGGAUUUACUGGGCGUAAAGAGCGCGCAGGCGGUCGUUCAAGUCGGAUGUGAAAUCCCCCGGCUCAACUGGGGAGCGUCAUUCGAUACUGAUCGACUUGAAGGCAGGAGAGGGAAGCGGAAUUCCCGGUGUAGUGGUGAAAUGCGUAGAUAUCGGGAGGAACACCAGAGGCGAAGGCGGCUUCCUGGCCUGUUCUUGACGCUGAGGCGCGAAAGCUAGGGGAGCAAACGG